GGGGCUCUAGCUCAGUGGUAGAGCACAUGCUUAGCAUGCACAAGGUCCUGGGUUCAAUCCUCAGUACCCCCA
RNAcentral lists this transfer RNA (72 nucleotides) under Camelus bactrianus (Bactrian camel). It matches the Rfam family "tRNA". From Rfam's summary of the family: Transfer RNA (tRNA) molecules are approximately 80 nucleotides in length. Their secondary structure includes four short double-helical elements and three loops (D, anti-codon, and T loops). Further hydrogen bonds mediate the characteristic L-shaped molecular structure. tRNAs have two regions of fundamental functional importance: the anti-codon, which is responsible for specific mRNA codon recognition, and the 3' end, to which the tRNAs corresponding amino acid is attached (by aminoacyl-tRNA synthetases). tRNAs cope with the degeneracy of the genetic code in two manners: having more than one tRNA (with a specific anti-codon) for a particular amino acid; and 'wobble' base-pairing, i.e. permitting non-standard base-pairing at the 3rd anti-codon position. Lineage: Eukaryota; Metazoa; Chordata; Mammalia; Artiodactyla; Camelidae. The record is from Rfam by way of RNAcentral. RNAcentral also lists the same sequence under 1 other name.